UGGGGAAUAUUGGACAAUGGGCGCCAGCCUGAUCCAGCCAUGCCGCGUGAGUGAUGAAGGCCCUAGGGUUGUAAAGCUCUUUCACCGGUGAAGAUAAUGACGGUAACCGGAGAAGAAGCCCCGGCUAACUUCGUGCCAGCAGCCGCGGUUAUACGUAGUGGGCUAGCGUUGUUCGGAUUUACUGGUCGGAAAGCGCACGUAGGAGGACUAUUAAGUCAGGGGUGAAAUCCCGGGGCUCAAACCCGGAACUGCCUUUGAGACUGGUAGCUGUGAGGUCGAGGGGGGGGAGAGGAAUUCCGGGAGCAGAGGGGAAUAUAGUAGCUAAUAGGAGGAAUAACAGUGGCGAAGGCGGAUCACUGGCACGAUACUGACGGUGAGGUGCGAAAGCGUGGGGAGUAAACAGG
RNAcentral lists this ribosomal RNA (404 nucleotides) under Actinomycetes bacterium. RNAcentral's name for it is "Actinobacteria bacterium partial 16S ribosomal RNA". It matches the Rfam family "Bacterial small subunit ribosomal RNA", at positions 355 to 776 of the family's 1533-position model. Lineage: Bacteria; Bacillati; Actinomycetota; Actinomycetes. The record is from RNAcentral.